UGGGGGAUUUUGGACAAUGGGCGCAAGCCUGAUCCAGCCAUGCCGCGUGCAGGAUGAAGGCCUUCGGGUUGUAAACUGCUUUUGUACGGAACGAAACGGCCUUUUCUAAUAAAGAGGGCUAAUGACGGUACCGUAAGAAUAAGCACCGGCUAACUACGUGCCAGCAGCCGCGGUAAUACGUAGGGUGCAAGCGUUAAUCGGAAUUACUGGGCGUAAAGCGUGCGCAGGCGGUAAUGUAAGACAGUUGUGAAAUCCCCGGGCUCAACCUGGGAACUGCAUCUGUGACUGCAUUGCUGGAGUACGGCAGAGGGGGAUGGAAUUCCGCGUGUAGCAGUGAAAUGCGUAGAUAUGCGGAGGAACACCGAUGGCGAAGGCAAUCCCCUGGGCCUGUACUGACGCUCAUGCACGAAAGCGUGGGGAGCAAACAGGAUUAGAUACCCUGGUAGUCCACGCCCUAAACGAUGUCAACUGGUUGUUGGGAAUUCACUUUCUCAGUAACGAAGCUAACGCGUGAAGUUGACCGCCUGGGGAGUACGGCCGCAAGGUUGAAACUCAAAUGAAUUGACGGGGUCAUAGCUGUUUCC
This 584-nucleotide ribosomal RNA is filed under the name uncultured bacterium. RNAcentral describes it as "partial 16S ribosomal RNA". It matches the Rfam family "Bacterial small subunit ribosomal RNA", at positions 355 to 937 of the family's 1533-position model. The record is from RNAcentral.